Molecule: ribosomal RNA, 388 nt
Filed under: uncultured bacterium
Lineage: Bacteria
Description: bacterial SSU rRNA
Rfam family: Bacterial small subunit ribosomal RNA
Source: RNAcentral
UGGGGAAUAUUGCACAAUGGGGGAAACCCUGAUGCAGCGACGCCGCGUGGAGGAAGAAGGUCUUCGGAUUGUAAACUCCUGUUGUUGAGGAAAAGAGGAUGGUACUCAACAAGGAAGUGACGGCUAACUACGUGCCAGCAGCCGCGGUAAACGUAGGUCACAAGCGUUGUCCGGAAUUACUGGGUGUAAAGGGAGCGCAGGCGGGUAUGCAAGUUGGGAGUGAAAUACAUGGGCUCAACCCAUGAACUGCUCUCAAAACUGUGUAUCUUGAGUAGUGCAGAGGUAGGCGGAAUUCCCGGUGUAGCGGUGGAAUGCGUAGAUAUCGGGAGGAACACCAGUGGCGAAGGCGGCCUACUGGGCACCAACUGACGCUGAGGCUCGAAAGUGU